RNAcentral lists this ribosomal RNA (537 nucleotides) under Paracomesoma sp. 201796738. RNAcentral describes it as "SSU rRNA". It matches the Rfam family "Eukaryotic small subunit ribosomal RNA", at positions 78 to 616 of the family's 1831-position model. Lineage: Eukaryota; Metazoa; Nematoda; Chromadorea; Araeolaimida; Comesomatidae. The record is from RNAcentral.
ACGGUAAAGCCGCGAAUGGCUCAUUACAACAGCCGUGGUUUCUUGGAUCUCCUAAUUUACUUGGAUAACUGUGGUAAUUCUAGAGCUAAUACACGCACUGAAGCUCUGACCUUUUGGGACGAGCGCAUUUAUUAGAACAAAACCAAUCGGGCUCAGGCCCGUGUUUGGUGACUCUGAAUAACUACGCUGAUCGCACGGUCUCGAACCGGCGACGUAUCCUUCAAGUGUCUGCCUUAUCAACUGUCGAUGGUAGUUUAUGUGCCUACCAUGGUUGUAACGGGUAACGGAGAAUAAGGGUUCGACUCCGGAGAGGGAGCCUGAGAAACGGCUACCACAUCCAAGGAAGGCAGCAGGCGCGCAAAUUACCCACUCUCAGCACGAGGAGGUAGUGACGAAAAAUAACGAGACGGAUCUCUAUGAGGCCCGUUAUCGGAAUGAGAACAAUCCAAAUCCUUUAACGAGGAUCUAGCGGAGGGCAAGUCUGGUGCCAGCAGCCGCGGUAAUUCCAGCUCCGCAGGUGUAUAUCUAUGCUGCUGC